RNAcentral lists this ribosomal RNA (2929 nucleotides) under Escherichia coli. RNAcentral's name for it is "bacterial LSU rRNA". It matches the Rfam family "Bacterial large subunit ribosomal RNA". The record is from RNAcentral. Lineage: Bacteria; Pseudomonadati; Pseudomonadota; Gammaproteobacteria; Enterobacterales; Enterobacteriaceae.
GGGUUGUGAGGUUAAGCGACUAAGCGUACACGGUGGAUGCCCUGGCAGUCAGAGGCGAUGAAGGACGUGCUAAUCUGCGAUAAGCGUCGGUAAGGUGAUAUGAACCGUUAUAACCGGCGAUUUCCGAAUGGGGAAACCCAGUGUGUUUCGACACACUAUCAUUAACUGAAUCCAUAGGUUAAUGAGGCGAACCGGGGAACUGAAACAUCUAAGUACCCCGAGGAAAAGAAAUCAACCGAGAUUCCCCCAGUAGCGGCGAGCGAACGGGGAGCAGCCCAGAGCCUGAAUCAGUGUGUGUGUUAGUGGAAGCGUCUGGAAAGGCGCGCGAUACAGGGUGACAGCCCCGUACACAAAAAUGCACAUAUUGUGAGCUCGAUGAGUAGGGCGGGACACGUGGUAUCCUGUCUGAAUAUGGGGGGACCAUCCUCCAAGGCUAAAUACUCCUGACUGACCGAUAGUGAACCAGUACCGUGAGGGAAAGGCGAAAAGAACCCCGGCGAGGGGAGUGAAAAAGAACCUGAAACCGUGUACGUACAAGCAGUGGGAGCACGCUUAGGCGUGUGACUGCGUACCUUUUGUAUAAUGGGUCAGCGACUUAUAUUCUGUAGCAAGGUUAACCGAAUAGGGGAGCCGAAGGGAAACCGAGUCUUAACUGGGCGUUAAGUUGCAGGGUAUAGACCCGAAACCCGGUGAUCUAGCCAUGGGCAGGUUGAAGGUUGGGUAACACUAACUGGAGGACCGAACCGACUAAUGUUGAAAAAUUAGCGGAUGACUUGUGGCUGGGGGUGAAAGGCCAAUCAAACCGGGAGAUAGCUGGUUCUCCCCGAAAGCUAUUUAGGUAGCGCCUCGUGAAUUCAUCUCCGGGGGUAGAGCACUGUUUCGGCAAGGGGGUCAUCCCGACUUACCAACCCGAUGCAAACUGCGAAUACCGGAGAAUGUUAUCACGGGAGACACACGGCGGGUGCUAACGUCCGUCGUGAAGAGGGAAACAACCCAGACCGCCAGCUAAGGUCCCAAAGUCAUGGUUAAGUGGGAAACGAUGUGGGAAGGCCCAGACAGCCAGGAUGUUGGCUUAGAAGCAGCCAUCAUUUAAAGAAAGCGUAAUAGCUCACUGGUCGAGUCGGCCUGCGCGGAAGAUGUAACGGGGCUAAACCAUGCACCGAAGCUGCGGCAGCGACGCUGAUGCGUUGUUGGGUAGGGGAGCGUUCUGUAAGCCUGUGAAGGUGCGCUGUGAGGCAUGCUGGAGGUAUCAGAAGUGCGAAUGCUGACAUAAGUAACGAUAAAGCGGGUGAAAAGCCCGCUCGCCGGAAGACCAAGGGUUCCUGUCCAACGUUAAUCGGGGCAGGGUGAGUCGACCCCUAAGGCGAGGCCGAAAGGCGUAGUCGAUGGGAAACAGGUUAAUAUUCCUGUACUUGGUGUUACUGCGAAGGGGGACGGAGAAGGCUAUGUUGGCCGGGCGACGGUUGUCCCGGUUUAAGCGUGUAGGCUGGUUUUCCAGGCAAAUCCGGAAAAUCAAGGCUGAGGCGUGAUGACGAGGUACUACGGUGCUGAAGCAACAAAUGCCCUGCUUCCAGGAAAAGCCUCUAAGCAUCAGGUAACAUCAAAUCGUACCCCAAACCGACACAGGUGGUCAGGUAGAGAAUACCAAGGCGCUUGAGAGAACUCGGGUGAAGGAACUAGGCAAAAUGGUGCCGUAACUUCGGGAGAAGGCACGCUGAUAUGUAGGUGAAGUCCCUCGCGGAUGGAGCUGAAAUCAGUCGAAGAUACCAGCUGGCUGCAACUGUUUAUUAAAAACACAGCACUGUGCAAACACGAAAGUGGACGUAUACGGUGUGACGCCUGCCCGGUGCCGGAAGGUUAAUUGAUGGGGUCAGCGCAAGCGAAGCUCUUGAUCGAAGCCCCGGUAAACGGCGGCCGUAACUAUAACGGUCCUAAGGUAGCGAAAUUCCUUGUCGGGUAAGUUCCGACCUGCACGAAUGGCGUAAUGAUGGCCAGGCUGUCUCCACCCGAGACUCAGUGAAAUUGAACUCGCUGUGAAGAUGCAGUGUACCCGCGGCAAGACGGAAAGACCCCGUGAACCUUUACUAUAGCUUGACACUGAACAUUGAGCCUUGAUGUGUAGGAUAGGUGGGAGGCUUUGAAGUGUGGACGCCAGUCUGCAUGGAGCCGACCUUGAAAUACCACCCUUUAAUGUUUGAUGUUCUAACGUUGACCCGUAAUCCGGGUUGCGGACAGUGUCUGGUGGGUAGUUUGACUGGGGCGGUCUCCUCCUAAAGAGUAACGGAGGAGCACGAAGGUUGGCUAAUCCUGGUCGGACAUCAGGAGGUUAGUGCAAUGGCAUAAGCCAGCUUGACUGCGAGCGUGACGGCGCGAGCAGGUGCGAAAGCAGGUCAUAGUGAUCCGGUGGUUCUGAAUGGAAGGGCCAUCGCUCAACGGAUAAAAGGUACUCCGGGGAUAACAGGCUGAUACCGCCCAAGAGUUCAUAUCGACGGCGGUGUUUGGCACCUCGAUGUCGGCUCAUCACAUCCUGGGGCUGAAGUAGGUCCCAAGGGUAUGGCUGUUCGCCAUUUAAAGUGGUACGCGAGCUGGGUUUAGAACGUCGUGAGACAGUUCGGUCCCUAUCUGCCGUGGGCGCUGGAGAACUGAGGGGGGCUGCUCCUAGUACGAGAGGACCGGAGUGGACGCAUCACUGGUGUUCGGGUUGUCAUGCCAAUGGCACUGCCCGGUAGCUAAAUGCGGAAGAGAUAAGUGCUGAAAGCAUCUAAGCACGAAACUUGCCCCGAGAUGAGUUCUCCCUGACUCCUUGAGAGUCCUGAAGGAACGUUGAAGACGACGACGUUGAUAGGCCGGGUGUGUAAGCGCAGCGAUGCGUUGAGCUAACCGGUACUAAUGAACCGUGAGGCUUAACCUUACAACGCCGAAGGUGUUU